ACGCUCGACACCUACUGGAGGCAGCAGUGAGGAAUAUUGGUCAAUGGGCGCAGGCCUGAACCAGCCAAGUAGCGUGAAGGAUGACUGCCCUAUGGGUUGUAAACUUCUUUUAUAUGGGAAUAAAGUUUUCCACGUGUGGAAUUUUGUAUGUACCAUAUGAAUAAGGAUCGGCUAACUCCGUGCAAGCAGCCGACGGUAAUCUGAGGCCGGGCGUGGACGAAGGC
This 224-nucleotide ribosomal RNA is filed under the name uncultured bacterium. RNAcentral describes it as "partial 16S ribosomal RNA". It matches the Rfam family "Bacterial small subunit ribosomal RNA", at positions 328 to 545 of the family's 1533-position model. The record is from RNAcentral.